UUGAGAUCCCGUGCAAUACCUAGGGUAUUGCACGGGGUGCAAUAGCUUAAAUCCUAGCCUUCCAUUCAAUCUAAUGGCUCUAAAAUACCUCCACGUCAUCGAUCCGCGUCACUUAGGAAAAAAAAUUUUAAUUCACUCUCAUUCCUUUUUUCUCUCAUUUUUUUUUCUUCUGUUCAUAUCUCUCUCUCCAACUUUUCACUCCGCAGUCCUUUCCUCUGUUCUCUCUAAUUCUCAAAAUUUUCAAAAAAUCCUGAUGUUGCUGACUUGCUUUUGCCGCUACCACUCUCACGCCAAACCACCGUCAUCGCCACCAUGGCGCCACUCACCAGCCACCAUUUCUCUUCCCCAACGAUCUAUCAACCCCUGCUAUGCCUCUAUCGGCUCCACUGCCUAGCAUCUCCAAUCUGCACCGCUGGCCCAAUCACUUCCCAGAUGAUAGAGCAUAGAGCUCCAGCCAAGCUAUAUUGCCAGAAAAGGUUUUGAAGCAUUCCUUAUGGAUUGAUAUCUUGAUGCUAGCAAGACUAAUUUUCAGUGUCAUUAAAGUUUUAGACUUGAUAUGAGUGAACUUCUUUUUACUUCGAAACAUGUAAUGAGACAAAAAAGACUUGCUUGAGUUUUAUGUUGUAUCGUUCAAUUUUGACACUUGAGUGUCCCUGUUUAUGUAUACAAAAACCCUUACAAUGAUGUAUAGUGUAAACCAAGAGAAUGUAAUAAAGUGCAAUUAUUCUUUUCUUGAUAUUUCAA
Quercus robur (English oak) is the source of this 744-nucleotide long non-coding RNA. RefSeq lists it as uncharacterized. The record is from RefSeq and is a predicted model, not a curated record. Lineage: Eukaryota; Viridiplantae; Streptophyta; Magnoliopsida; Fagales; Fagaceae. The transcript is spliced from 2 exons.